GACGAACGCUGGCGGCGUGCCUAAUACAUGCAAGUCGAGCGGACCGAAGGGGAGCCUUGCUCCUUUAGGUUAGCGGCGGACGGGGUGAGUAACAACGUGGGCAACCUGCCCUCCAGACUGGGAUAAAUUCGGGAAACCGGGAGCUAAUACCGGAUAACACCGAAAACCGCAUGGUUUUCGGUUGAAAGGCGGCUUUUAGCUGUCACUGCAGGAUGGGCCCGCGGCGCAUUAGCUAGUUGGUGAGGUAACGGCUCACCAAGGCGACGAUGCGUAGCCGACCUGAGAGGGUGACCGGCCACACUGGGACUGAGACACGGCCCAGACUCCUACGGGAGGCAGCAGUAGGGAAUCUUCCGCAAUGGACGAAAGUCUGACGGAGCAACGCCGCGUGAGCGAAGAAGGUCUUCGGAUCGUAAAGCUCUGUUGUCAGGGAAGAACAAGUACCGUUCGAACAGGGCGGUACCUUGACGGUACCUGACGAGGAAGCCACGGCUAACUACGUGCCAGCAGCCGCGGUAAUACGUAGGUGGCAAGCGUUGUCCGGAAUUAUUGGGCGUAAAGCGCGCGCAGGCGGUUCCUUAAGUCUGAUGUGAAAUCUCGCGGCUCAACCGCGAGCGGCCAUUGGAAACUGGGGAACUUGAGUGCAGGAGAGGGGAGCGGAAUUCCACGUGUAGCGGUGAAAUGCGUAGAGAUGUGGAGGAACACCAGUGGCGAAGGCGGCUCUCUGGCCUGUAACUGACGCUGAG
RNAcentral lists this ribosomal RNA (746 nucleotides) under bacterium IMCC8988. RNAcentral's name for it is "bacterial SSU rRNA". It matches the Rfam family "Bacterial small subunit ribosomal RNA", at positions 28 to 750 of the family's 1533-position model. The record is from RNAcentral.